Manis pentadactyla (Chinese pangolin) is the source of this 872-nucleotide long non-coding RNA. RefSeq lists it as uncharacterized. The record is from RefSeq and is a predicted model, not a curated record. NCBI's taxonomy places the organism in Eukaryota, Metazoa, Chordata, Mammalia, Pholidota, Manidae. The transcript is spliced from 3 exons.
CGCUGCCGGCCACUCUCUCCGGGGCGCCCCCGUGGAUUGGCUCCCGCGGAAAACAGGACACAUCCAGGGCACUGCUGGGUAGGCCGAGGGUGGCCGAGCUGGCUGCGAACACAUACACAGAUAUGACACAGGUCUUAUGGCAUGUUUGCACCUGAUGAAAAUAAACCUGUAGAGAGGAAGAAACUGACAAUGUUGGAGGAAAAGAAUCAUUCCAGGAGACAAGUCCUUGAAUAUGAGAGGAUCCAGUGCACCUGUGGUGGUAUUCCCAAGAGCAUUCCAGUAAGCAUUCCACUCACAUCUCCCUCUCAUGAGUCUGUUUCCAGGGAACACGAUCUAAAACAAGGGAUUGGAUCCCCAGUUGCCGUGUCUGGCACGUAGAAGAUGCUCAAUAAAUAUUAAUUGAAUGAAUGUGUCCGUGUUUGUUUUCUCUUGGGCUCUCUGCCAAGGUUCAAGGUCUCGUAUACAACGGACGCUCAAUGAAUGACCGAGCUCUAGGUGCUGGGGGUGGGGAGCUACCGCCCCAGACAGUUACCCCGCCAUCCCCAACACACACACCCAGCGAGACUGAGCGCCCCAAACUUGGGGCCUCGGCCCCGCCCCCCGCCGCAGCUGCGGCCAGGAAGCGGGAGAGGGUGCAAGCGGGUUCCAGGGUGGGGAAGCCGCUCGCCUUCCGAAUCCUCGGGGGGACCAGUACAGACAGCGGCGGCAGGGCGGUCACCGAUCCGUCAGCUCCGCAGAACGGUUACUUUUAAAAAGCCAAAAUGGCGGAAUUCUUUUUAUUCUUUCCCUUUACUGCAAAUAAUGAUGAUAAUAAUCCCAUUUUCCGUUGUAAAAAUCAGAAAUUGGCGAUAGGGAAACUAAGUUUGCCAAAU